UACGGAGGGGACUAGCGUUGUUCGGAAUUACUGGGCGUAAAGCGCACGUAGGCGGAUUUGUAAGUCAGGGGUGAAAUCCCGGGGCUCAACCCCGGAACUGCCUUUGAUACUGCGAAUCUCGAGUCCGGAAGAGGUGAGUGGAAUUCCUAGUGUAGAGGUGAAAUUCGUAGAUAUUAGGAAGAACACCAGUGGCGAAGGCGGCUCACUGGUCCGGUACUGACGCUGAGGUGCGAAAGCGUGGGGAGCGAACGGG
Molecule: ribosomal RNA, 253 nt
Filed under: uncultured bacterium
Lineage: Bacteria
Description: partial 16S ribosomal RNA
Rfam family: Bacterial small subunit ribosomal RNA
Source: RNAcentral